AUGUCCAGGGCCUGGGGACAGCCUGGGAAUGUCCCUGUGGUGCUCUCCUGGCUCAGGUGCCUGCACGGGCAGAAGCUGGUGACCAUGUCUGUCCAACACCGGAGAGGGGUGUCUACUCUCCAGCUUACCAUCCCAGCUCCCGUCCUGGAGGAUGAGAUGGAGGAGGAAGAGGUCUACGUGCACUGCCUGCUGACAGCGUGGGGCCCCGUGGGCACCCGGGGACAUGGCACCAGGUCCUGCUUCUACAGCCAAGCCACAGACAGGUACGCUCAGCCCUGGCACAGGCUCCCUCAUGGUGGCCCAGGACCCAACCACCCAUGGCUGCUUUGGGAGCAGAAGCCACCGGGCAGGGGGACCAAGCCACCCCACUGUGGUCUAGAUGCCACCUCUACCCCUGAUAGCAGGGUAGCAUCACUGCACAUCCCAGCUCUGGUGGGCCCCUCUGGGUGCAGGUGCACUGGGGAGGUGCUGAUGGGAGAUAAAAGACCCCUUUGGGGUGGCCAAGACCUGCAGAGCUGGAGGGACCUGCUGGCAUGGCACCAUAUGGGUCUUGAGGGGGAACCCCUGGAUCCCCAAGCUCUGUCCUCUCCUCGCAGCUGGCACAAUGCAGAGGACCCUUCGCAGAGCGCCCUGUGCCACUGCUGUGACACCGGCUGUCCCCCCGGUGACACCCUCCCCGGAGAGCUGCCAGGGUUCCCAGGAGAGGGGACACCCCACUGGGAGACAGUUGGACCAUUGCUGGUGCAGAAGGAGAAGGUGCCAUGGUACGAAGGUGAGCGGACAACCCCAAAUGUCACCCCAUGGCCCCAAAGCCACCAUCCCAGGUGUCGAAGCGACCUCUGAACCCCUUAUUUUGUCUUUCUCUGCCGUCCCCAGAGCCGUGCCGCACAGUGAAGAGGUUCCUGUUGGCCGGGCUGGCCCUGGUGGGCAGCGCCCUGGUGGCAGCCACCCUGGUGGGGGGUCUGCUGGGGCUGGCCUUGGCUGCGUGGCGCCUGGGCGGGCGCCGGCGGAGACAGCGGCGGCUGAGGCGGCAGUGUCCCUUCCACGCCGAGCUGCGGAGCGUGGUGAAGGCUUUGGCCCCCAGGGAGAUGAAGAAAGGAGGUGA
This 1105-nucleotide long non-coding RNA is filed under the name Calidris pugnax (ruff). Its description in RNAcentral is "lncRNA (ENSCPUG00000003696.1)". The record is from RNAcentral. Lineage: Eukaryota; Metazoa; Chordata; Aves; Charadriiformes; Scolopacidae.